Molecule: transfer RNA, 63 nt
Filed under: Heterocephalus glaber (naked mole-rat)
Lineage: Eukaryota; Metazoa; Chordata; Mammalia; Rodentia; Bathyergidae
Rfam family: tRNA
About the family: Transfer RNA (tRNA) molecules are approximately 80 nucleotides in length. Their secondary structure includes four short double-helical elements and three loops (D, anti-codon, and T loops). Further hydrogen bonds mediate the characteristic L-shaped molecular structure. tRNAs have two regions of fundamental functional importance: the anti-codon, which is responsible for specific mRNA codon recognition, and the 3' end, to which the tRNAs corresponding amino acid is attached (by aminoacyl-tRNA synthetases). tRNAs cope with the degeneracy of the genetic code in two manners: having more than one tRNA (with a specific anti-codon) for a particular amino acid; and 'wobble' base-pairing, i.e. permitting non-standard base-pairing at the 3rd anti-codon position.
Source: Rfam by way of RNAcentral
GGGGAUGGGGCUCAGUGGUAGAGCACUUGCCUUGCAUGUGUGAAGCUCUGGGUCCCAUCCCCA